GCGAGAGUGGCGGAACUGGCAGACGCGCCGGACUUAGGAUCCGGUGGCCGAAAGGCCGUGGGAGUUCGAGUCUCCCCUCUCGCACCU
Molecule: transfer RNA, 87 nt
Filed under: Actinomycetes bacterium
Lineage: Bacteria; Bacillati; Actinomycetota; Actinomycetes
Description: Actinobacteria bacterium tRNA-Leu
Rfam family: tRNA
About the family: Transfer RNA (tRNA) molecules are approximately 80 nucleotides in length. Their secondary structure includes four short double-helical elements and three loops (D, anti-codon, and T loops).
Source: RNAcentral